Molecule: long non-coding RNA, 228 nt
Filed under: Populus trichocarpa (black cottonwood)
Lineage: Eukaryota; Viridiplantae; Streptophyta; Magnoliopsida; Malpighiales; Salicaceae
Description: long non-coding RNA (PTRI_LNC003354)
Source: RNAcentral
UUUAAGAAAAAAAAUCAAUAAAAACACAACAUUUGAGGAUGAUAUUGGGAAAAAAAAAUCGGGUACCAACCAAAUAUCGUAAUGCUUAUUUGAAAUCUCAAUAAUCCUAUAAAAAUAAACGGAGACAACUCAUGAAAACCAAUUAAAAUAAAAAAUAAAAUUGAAAAAAAUAAUAAAAAUAUUGAGGAUUAAAUUGAAAACAAUAUAAAAAAACAAAAAAAACACAAC